Molecule: non-coding RNA, 115 nt
Filed under: Chloroflexota bacterium
Lineage: Bacteria; Bacillati; Chloroflexota
Description: Chloroflexi bacterium TPP sequence
Rfam family: TPP riboswitch aptamer (THI element)
About the family: Vitamin B(1) in its active form thiamin pyrophosphate (TPP) is an essential coenzyme that is synthesised by coupling of pyrimidine and thiazole moieties in bacteria. The previously detected thiamin-regulatory element, thi box was extended, resulting in a new, highly conserved RNA secondary structure, the THI element, which is widely distributed in eubacteria and also occurs in some archaea. Analysis of operon structures identified a large number of new candidate thiamin-regulated genes, mostly transporters, in various prokaryotic organisms.
Source: RNAcentral
UCGAAUAGGUGCGGGAGCUGGGUGCAGGGCCCGGCUGAGAGGCUCCGACCGUAUCGGAGCGACCGCCAGACCUGAUCUGGGUAAUGCCAGCGAAGGGAUUGAACCAACCUGACGC